This 355-nucleotide long non-coding RNA is filed under the name Mus musculus (house mouse). RNAcentral's name for it is "long non-coding RNA chr10:43319359-43319714". Lineage: Eukaryota; Metazoa; Chordata; Mammalia; Rodentia; Muridae. The record is from RNAcentral.
AUGGCCGAGAGGCCUGAGGACCUAAAUCUGCCUGAAGCGCCAUCUCCCAAGCCACCAGUGUCUUUGUUUUAUAUGCCACAUCCUGUGCCAAUAACUUCUCAAUGAAAGGAAAGCACAAGACUGUGAAUGCCAGUGAUAUGCCAUCAGCCAUGGAAGAGAUGGAGUUCCAGCGGUUCCUAACACCUUGAAAGAAGCUCUAGAAGCACACAGGCGGGAGCAGAAAGGCAAGAAGGAGGCUUCAGAGCAGAAGAAGGACGACAAAGACAAUUCCGGAGAGCAAGACAAAAGCAGAGAGGAGGAGGAGGAAAAUGAAGAAAGAAAGAGGAAGAACAGAACGAAGAGGAGGAAAUAGCUG